GGGUUGUUAGCUCAGUUGGUAGAGCAGCUGACUCUUAAUCAGCGGGUCGCAGGUUCGAUCCCUGCACAGCCCACCA
RNAcentral lists this transfer RNA (76 nucleotides) under Coxiellaceae bacterium. RNAcentral describes it as "tRNA-Lys". It matches the Rfam family "tRNA". From Rfam's summary of the family: Transfer RNA (tRNA) molecules are approximately 80 nucleotides in length. Their secondary structure includes four short double-helical elements and three loops (D, anti-codon, and T loops). Lineage: Bacteria; Pseudomonadati; Pseudomonadota; Gammaproteobacteria; Legionellales; Coxiellaceae. The record is from RNAcentral.